UACGGAGGGUGCAAGCGUUAUCCGGAUUCACUGGGUUUAAAGGGGGCGUAGGUGGGUUGGUAAGUCAGUGGUGAAAUCUCCGUGCUUAACAUGGAAACUGCCAUUGAUACUACUAGUCUUGAAUCUUCCGGAGGUCAGCGGAAUAUGUCAUGUAGCGGUGAAAUGCUUAGAUAUGACAUAGAACACCAAUUGCGAAGGCAGCUGACUACAGGGGCAUUGACACUGAGGCACGAAAGCGUGGGGAUCAAACAGG
Molecule: ribosomal RNA, 253 nt
Filed under: uncultured bacterium
Lineage: Bacteria
Description: partial 16S ribosomal RNA
Rfam family: Bacterial small subunit ribosomal RNA
Source: RNAcentral